This 242-nucleotide small RNA is filed under the name Staphylococcus aureus. RNAcentral describes it as "HMPRNC0000_1574". Lineage: Bacteria; Bacillati; Bacillota; Bacilli; Caryophanales; Staphylococcaceae. The record is from RNAcentral.
GGUUUAGAGCGCACAGUAGCAUGGAUUUCUGGUGUUGAACACGUUCGUGAAACUGCGCCAUUCCCAAGAUUAUUAAACCGUUUAUAUCCAUAAGUUUUAGGAUCGUUACUUAAAAUUUAUAUUAUAAAAAGAAUCGUCCAGCCUAUAUUAAUAGCUGGGCGAUUUAUGCUUGGAAAAUGAAGAUUGAUAACGGCUUAUAUUAAUCAUGAACAAACUUUUGUUUAGUAACUAUAUUUGGAAAA